RNAcentral lists this ribosomal RNA (253 nucleotides) under uncultured bacterium. RNAcentral describes it as "partial 16S ribosomal RNA". It matches the Rfam family "Bacterial small subunit ribosomal RNA", at positions 524 to 776 of the family's 1533-position model. The record is from RNAcentral.
UACGGAGGGUGCAAGCGUUAUCCGGAUUCACUGGGUUUAAAGGGUGCGUAGGUGGGUUGGUAAGUCAGUGGUGAAAUCCCCGGGCUUAACUUGGGAACUGCCAUUGAUACUAUUGAUCUUGAAUACCGUGGAGGUCGGCGGAAUAUGUCAUGUAGCGGUGAAAUGCUUAGAUAUGACAUAGAACACCAAUUGCGAAGGCAGCUGGCUGCGCGGAUAUUGACACUGAGGCACGAAAGCGUGGGGAUCAAACAGG